AGAGAGAGACAUGCGCGCAUAUCAAUAAGCGGAGGAAAAGAAACUAACAAGGAUUCCCUUAGUAACGGCGAGUGAAGCGGGAAGAGCUCAAAUUUGAAAUCUUCAAGGUUUUACCUUGACGAAUUGUAGUUUAAAGAAGUGUUUUCUGCUGAAGUUUUGGUAAAAGUUCUUUGGAAUAGGACAUCAUAGAGGGUGAGAAUCCCGUAUUUGACCAUUAUUUUCAGCUUUGUGAUACACUUUCAAAGAGUCGGAUUGUUUGGGAAUGCAGUCCAAAAUGGGUGGUAAAUUUCAUCUAAAGCUAAAUAUUGGCGAGAGACCGAUAGCGAACAAGUACCGUGAGGGAAAGAUGAAAAGAACUUUGAAAAGAGAGUUAAACAGUACGUGAAAUUGUCAAAAGGGAAGCGUUUGACACCAGUGUUGUUUUCUCGAAAAUCAAUUAAAAAUGGCUCGAUUUUGUAUUGCUUGAGACCUUAAAAGCUCACUGUACAUUUUUCGUGUCUUUUUUAAUGCACUUUUCGUUUAACAAGUCAACAUCAAUUUCUUUUGUUGUAAAAGGGUCAUUGGAAGGUGGCUUUCUUUUCGGAGAAAGUGUUUAUAGCCUUUGGCCUCUGCAAUCGGAGAGACUGAGGUCUGCAGCGUAGACUCUUCGGGGUUAGAUACAUUUGUGCUAAGUUAUAGCUUUUUAUAGACAACUUGUUGACUAUAAUUAGUCUUGUAGCUUACUCGCUUAUGCUAUUUUACCUACGCUUAGGAUGUUGAAGAUGUAGCACAUCAU
Molecule: ribosomal RNA, 775 nt
Filed under: uncultured Neocallimastigales
Lineage: Eukaryota; Fungi; Neocallimastigomycota; Neocallimastigomycetes; Neocallimastigales
Description: partial large subunit ribosomal RNA
Rfam family: Eukaryotic large subunit ribosomal RNA
Source: RNAcentral